Molecule: non-coding RNA, 32 nt
Filed under: Mus musculus (house mouse)
Lineage: Eukaryota; Metazoa; Chordata; Mammalia; Rodentia; Muridae
Source: RNAcentral
UGGGUGCAAAGAACCUCAUGAAUGCAGGACUC